RNAcentral lists this ribosomal RNA (414 nucleotides) under uncultured microorganism. Its description in RNAcentral is "bacterial SSU rRNA". It matches the Rfam family "Archaeal small subunit ribosomal RNA", at positions 459 to 872 of the family's 1478-position model. The record is from RNAcentral.
CAGCAGCCGCGGUAAUACCGGCGGCCCGAGUGGUGGCCGCUAUUAUUGGGCCUAAAGCGUCCGUAGCCGGGCUGGUAAGUCCUCCGGGAAAUCUGGUCGCUUAACGAUCAGACUUCCGGAGGAUACUGCUGGCCUAGGGACCGGGAGAGGCCGAGGGUAUUCCCGGGGUAGGGGUGAAAUCCUGUAAUCCCGGGAGGACCACCUGUGGCGAAGGCGCUCGGCUGGAACGGGUCCGACGGUGAGGGACGAAGGCCAGGGGAGCGAACCGGAUUAGAUGCCCGGGUAGUCCUGGCUGUAAACGAUGCGGACUAGGUGUCGGGCAAGCUAAGGGCUUGUCCGGUGCCGCAGGGAAGCCGUUAAGUCCGCCGCCUGGGGAGUACGGCCGCAAGGCUGAAACUUAAAGGAAUUGGCGGG